Molecule: non-coding RNA, 21 nt
Filed under: Arabidopsis thaliana (thale cress)
Lineage: Eukaryota; Viridiplantae; Streptophyta; Magnoliopsida; Brassicales; Brassicaceae
Source: RNAcentral
ACAGUGAUGAUAUGAUGCCAA